Podarcis raffonei (Aeolian wall lizard) is the source of this 2113-nucleotide long non-coding RNA. RefSeq lists it as uncharacterized. The transcript is spliced from 2 exons. The record is from RefSeq and is a predicted model, not a curated record. NCBI's taxonomy places the organism in Eukaryota, Metazoa, Chordata, Lepidosauria, Squamata, Lacertidae.
UCAAGUCCCGCCCAGAAAAGGCCAGCCUUCAUGCGUCUGCUCUGCUUGAUAAACUAUCCGCUUGCAUGGGGCUUCCACCCAUGGUAGAACGUGACCCCACCGGCCUAGACAACACCGAGUGGAAGGAUGUACGAGUGCAGCGUUGCUGUUGUCCUCUUGUGUUAUCUCUUAGUGUUAUCUCCUACUCAGGCUGGUUUCAGCUGCUUGCACCUCAUCUUCUCUAUCCCUCCUUCUCUUUGCCUUAACUCAGCUACUGUCACCAGAGGCUGAGGCUUAGAGUACCCUUCCGCAACCUGGUGCUUUCUGAAGGCUGCUGGGAGUUGUAGUCCUGGAUGGCACCAGGAUAGGGAAUGGUGUCUUGAAGAAGAUGCUGAGGUUACCCAGGAUGGGAGUGGGGGAGAUGAAGAAACGGGUAACAAUGGGCCUGCAAGGAUUCCUACACCUUGUGUCAUGUCCCUCAUGUUUGGAGGAAUGUGCCAAGGUGUGGCUUGUAGCAAAAGCACUCCUGUCCUCCUAAGUCAGCUGCUGGGCCCCUGCUGCAGCAGAGGACACAGCUGGAGCCAGAAGGCCUUUGGCCUGUGAGAAGCACUUUGUCAGGUGAAGAAUGUGCAUGCAGGUGUCUCAGCCACCCCAUUUUGCAUCUGACCCCUCACUGAGCCCUCUUAAUAUAGGACAGCCACCUCCCCACUCUCCCUUUGGCAAGGCUCCUGUGCUUUUGACGUAUCCACAGAAAUGCAGCAAUGCAGCCGCUAGAACUUUCCCCCUAGAUCCAGUUCUGCCCUAGGGAAAAGCUGCACCAACUGAAUUUCUGCCUGCCCUACAGUCCUUAGGUAUAAGAGCCCUGCCCAGGGUGAGAAUGACAACCCUUUUCUAUGCCGGAUUACAAGCCUAGACCUUUCUUGGUACCAGGAGCAGAUGGUGCUCAGCUGACCUCCCGUCAGUUGUGUCACUGCUGCUCACUGGGAGAAGAAGGGGCAAAUGGUGUGGUUGGCACCAUGCAAUGUAUAAGCUGAGCCAAUCCAGUGCUCCUGCUGGUGCGUUUACACCACACCAACCUCCCCUCUACCUCCUUGUAGGCAGUAGAUGGGACUUCCUUGAUGGGAGGUCAGGGGAGUGUUGCCAUCCCACCAAUCCAUCUGCUACCACUUGGUGCGGCAUUUGGACGUACUCUGACACAUGCAUCCUGUAACUGUAAGUAAGGACUGAUUUGGAAAACCUCUGCCAAAACCUGUCCUUCGGCCUUUUCCAAAAGCAAGUUUUGACCAAUUUGGGCAGGUUUGUUACAAUGUGUACUCCCCACUGUUUGACAUGGUCUCCAACACAUGGAGCCGGGACACAGGAUAUCUGGCCAACCCACUUGGCAACUUGACCUUUUCAAGGCAGCAGCCGCUGUAACCGGUUAUGUGGGUACAGCAACCACUUUAUUUGGCCAGAGGAUAAGAGAGGCAGGUCAAAAGUAGUGACCUAGUGGGAGCCAGCUAAGCAAAGUGGCCACGAGCUAUAAGUCAAAAAGAAUUGGUUCAGACUUUAAACCUCAAUCAUAAACUUACUGGGUGACCUUAGGCUGAGAGAACAGGGGUAUGCAUAUCUGCAAGCCAGGGUUAUUAACAUGGGCCUGCCUUAUAGGGGUGUUGUAUGGAUGAAUGAGGCAAAUAUCUACAUAAACACUUUGAACACCUAUGUAAGUGCCAAGUGUUGUGUUUAUGGGCUGAUUUGGUUGACCAGAGGCAUUUGGGGUUCUUUAAUUCACUUUUGCUUGUGGCUUUGGCACAUAUUAAGCAUUUAAGGCGUGUGUGCAUGGAUCGGGUGAGGUGGGUGUGCCUGCUGUCUUGCACUGGGAGGGCGGUUUGGGCCAAGGGGUCUUGCUGUAAGGAAAUGGCAUGUGUUGGCGGUGAGCAGGAGCCUGGCCUGGAAGCUCACAUCUGCAUAACCUUUUUCAGGUGGCUGUUGACUUUCUUUGUACAAAAACACUAAUUUAUACCAGCUGAGGACAUCUUAUUGUGUCAGAUCUUUGUUGGUAACUGGGUUUUCUGUGUGUGUGUGUAAAGAUUUGUUCUAUGUAAAUAUAGCUUUAUAAUAAAGAAAUAUGAAAACAAUAAACCCUUAUUAUUAU